GUUGCUCUUGUGAGAGAUCUUUUUCAAAAUUAAGUCUGGUAAAAACAAAGCUAAGAAGUUGUAUGACGCAAGAUCGAUUGGAGUCAAUGAUAUUAGUAUUUGUUGAACAGGAAUUGGCAUCUGAAUUAGAUCCAGAAGACAUAAUUGAAGAGUUCAAACAUCUUAACAAUACAAAACGGCGACUAGAACUUUAAUUAUUUUGAAAUUUUGUAACUGACACAUAUAUAUUAUAUAAUAUUAUAUUUAUUAUUUAUACAUGAUUUUAUUUUAAUUAUUUACCUACUGACAUCUAUUAUAUGCCAUCUGAAAUAGGGACAACGUUUUUUUUUUCAUAUUAGUUAUAAUAAAUAAUAAUAAUGACGAAUUUUAAAUUAACAAAAAUUGUACAAAAAGGGGGAGGCUAAGGGGCUUUAGCCAGGUUGCACCCUCUGCGUCAAAGGUCUGGACACGCCUAUGGUCGGUACAAAGUGUUACAAGGUGAAUUCACGUUCAAACUCUAAUAUAAGAAAACAUUUAAGUGUAAGUACAAUGUUAAUUUCAUACCUGCCUAUGACAGUUGACCCAUAUAAUAUCUUGUGUGUUAAAUUAAUUUUAAAUACCACACAAAUACAUAAUAUAUUACAAAAAUACAUCAAAAACAGUGGCGCACAGCUUUUUAAAAGUGCUUAGGAUGUAGGUAUCAUAGAUCUCAUUAUUCUAUAUUAUGUACUUUCCUGGGCCCCCACACUAGUCAUCUCAGAGGGGCCAAGUAUUCUUGUGUAUAUGAAAUAAAAUAAAAUAAAUAACCCCCUCCCCCCUAAAAAAAAAAUCCCAGUUGCGCCACUACUUAAAAAGUGUAAAUUAUUUAUCAAAACUUAUAAUGUUAAGUAAAAGGUUAUAUUAUUUCAUUUUAUUCAGACACAACAUUCAACUAUAUUAAAGAAAAUUGAUCACGUUGAUAAUGCAACGAACAAAAACACUUGAAGGAGAUGAAAUUAUGGAUUAUUGAAGCAUAAUGCUGGUGGUUCUUUAAGACAAUCAGAUAAAAACAACCAGUUUUAGAAGAUUUUUUAAACAACAAAAAAUUAACUAGUCAAAAUUUUAGUUGCAGCAUUAACAAAAGUAGUUGAUAUUUACAUGACUACAUGGCAAUACUCUGAUACAUUGCUAGUGAACGAUACGGUUGUUAAUGAUUUAGAAGAAAUCGACGCAUUGAACUUGAACAUUCUCGAGAACAUUCAAAAUGAUGAAGACCAUGAUUUGCUAUAUGCAUUACCAAAACACCAUCGAUGUUGUGUACACACAAUAAAUUUAAUUGCAACAAUGGAAUCUAAAAAAACUUUGUCUAAUCUUGCAUACAAAAAACAGUCUAGAAGAACUUUUGCCAAGUCUACCGCUUUGUGAAUCAAACAAGGUCACUCAACUAAGUCAGCUGAUUUAUUUAAACAAAAUCUUGGUGUUAAUUUAAUUACACCCAACGAGACAAGAAACAUUAUACUAGAAAUGACUUUAUCAAUGCAGGUGUAACAGCAACAGAAUUAUUAUAGUACUGCUUACUAAGACAUAGAGGAAAUUCGACAACCUCUACGUGCUUCUCUCUUGAUGCGGAUUUUGUAAUGUAUUUGUAUCAAAUGUCAAACAUGCAUUUAAACUAGCUAUGACUCCCACAGUAGGUGAACCGGGCAUACAGCGGGGCAUGGUAAUGCAUCAGACGAGGAGAGACCGCUAGACACUCAGUCACAGUUUUCGGUUUGUUUGCCUCAUCGUGUUACCUGACCUUUGCACGUCAUCCGCUAUACGACAAAGUCGGAUGGCCUACCUGCCAGACUACACUCAAAACAGAGCCGCUUUUUCACUUACAUCUAGCAUGCGACGGGUCAUGCAUCCAAUCCACCAUACACACAUGCCCUUUAACUCAUAGAUUUGCAUAGAGCGAUGAUUAUUAAUUACAAAUUUGUACAAAUUAAAUACAAAAUAAAAUAAUUUAUUUGUCUAAUCUUGCAUACAAAAAACAGUCAAGAAGCACUUUUUCCAAGUCUACCGCUUUGUGGAAUAAACAAGGUCGUUCAACUAAGUCAGCUGAUUUAUUUAAACAAAAUCUUGGUGUUAAUUUAAUUACACCCAACGAGACACGUUGGAAUUCACUGUAUGGUGCAGUGGUGCUGCUUAAUAAAUAAAU
Long non-coding RNA from Myzus persicae (green peach aphid), 2158 nucleotides. RefSeq lists it as uncharacterized. The record is from RefSeq and is a predicted model, not a curated record. The transcript is spliced from 6 exons. NCBI's taxonomy places the organism in Eukaryota, Metazoa, Arthropoda, Insecta, Hemiptera, Aphididae.